Molecule: long non-coding RNA, 758 nt
Filed under: Cricetulus griseus (Chinese hamster)
Lineage: Eukaryota; Metazoa; Chordata; Mammalia; Rodentia; Cricetidae
Description: lncRNA (ENSCGRG00000025117.1)
Source: RNAcentral
AAGAAGGCCCACAGAUGACACAUGGUCACAAGCAGUCUCAACCCUCAAAGUCCAGUCCUGGGAAAGUAGCUCUGCUGGCCUGAGGGUACAGAGAAGAGAAGGGGGCUCACCCACCCCCUGGAUCCUUCUGGCACCCAAGAAGGAAGCCUCUACAUCAGCAAAGAUUGCACUGAACCCUGGGAGUAAAAGUGGCACCAGAUCACACUUCUAACUCUAGAGGACAGUGUCUUCAGAAUGGGUUUUGGUGUGACAUUGUCUCAGGCAGCCCUCGGCCAAAGCCAGACCCCAAGCAAGCUCUGAGAUCUAGGUAAUCCACCCAGCACUGUGGGUCAGUCAGAUGAGCAUGCCAUGGUGAGGUCUUCAGACACCAACGAGCAGAAACCCAGCGGACCAUCGAAAAAGGGUUGAGACCCACAGGUUGAGAACCUCUGCUCUGGACAAAUUCUGCAAGUACAGGGACCAAGGCCAAAGUGUAGAGGGGAGCCCAGUGUUAUGCUCUUCCCCCUAGUGUGACAUUCAAUAAAUGUUGGGGAAGGAAGAAAACGUCUCCGGAUGCUCCUUGGGACGCUAAGAUCUGCAGAAGGGCCUGUUCAUGUGCUCCAGGAGUGACACCUGGAACCAAUUUGACCUCCUAUGACAUUAAGUUGAUCGGCUCCACAACUGUCACCAAGUAUAGAGCAUGGAGGGGAUCCAGGUUAGGUAAGUUUUGGUGGGAAAGGGGUGUCUUGGGCCCAGUGGUGCCAGAGCCAUAUGCAGAG